Molecule: non-coding RNA, 3626 nt
Organism: Chlorocebus sabaeus (green monkey)
Lineage: Eukaryota; Metazoa; Chordata; Mammalia; Primates; Cercopithecidae
Source: RefSeq, a predicted model, not a curated record
GUAUUCCAUGGUGUAUAUGUGACACAUUUUCUUUAUCCAGUCUAUCAUUGAUGGGCAUUUGGGUUGGUUCCAAGUCUACAAAGAUGUUUUCAAAUACAAGUAUUGAUGAUUUUAAAUAAUUGUACACAAAGCUGUGAUGUUCAUGUGUACUCCAUUUGGUAGAAGGCAGAAAUGCUCACUGAUCUUUUGUUAUGUACCCCCAGACAGGUAUGAGAUCCCACCAGGAAGCAAGAGAAACUGCUUUUGUUCCCUGCUUCUACCCCCCACUGUCCCCAAGGAGCCAUCUGAUGUGGACUCAUUAAAAGGGAGAAUAUUUAUUAGGCUACAGUGCCAAGGCUGCCAUCUGUUAGGAUUGCUCUCAGCUUUUCCACAUGGAGAAUGGUAAACUAAAGAGCUGAGAUAAGGGUGUGAACCUAUGGGAUAGAAGCCCAGGAGGCUGUUUAACCUGUUUCUGUUCUUGGCUUAGGCAGUGGUGUGCCGGUAAAUAUUUAACAACCAGCUCUUUGGAGAAGAAAUGCAUGUGGAUAUAUAACCAAUUAUAAGUCUGUUAUAAAUUUUACUGAUUUACAAGUAGUAAAAUAUACAACUUAAAAGAAUUAUAGAGCAUACAAUACUCCUUAUUGUAUGUUAUCACAGAAUGCUUAACCUGAUCUUAUAGAACGCUUUUAUUUGCAGCCAAACUGUGGUUGCAGUUGAUGAAUAAGUAGGUUACUGACCUGAAUGUUGGUUGAUAUUUUCCUUUACACAAAAGAAUAAGAUAAAAGUUAAAACAACAGUGACAUAGAAGUUCACUUGUUUGUCAAUGAAGAGAGUACUUUCUCUACUGAAUAAGAAAAUUUUCAAAUACUAGAAGAAUAUUUUCUCAAAUUCACAGUGUACCAACUAUAAACAUGACAUUUUAAAUUUAAUCUGCAUUAUUUACAUUUUCUCUAUUAUUUUCUUAAGUCUAGAGACAAUCCACAAUAAAUCAAUCCCUGAUUUGUAGUAUUUGUUGAUUUCUGUGGUAUAAAUGCUCUGAUUUAAAGCUUCCAAUGUAAUGUUACUGAGUGUAGAAUUAGGAAGAGAUGCAUAGCUUUACAUUAUUUUACUAUUUCCACCAUUAAAGAUACAAUAGAGGUAAAAACCUCAAGAACAUAGAUAAUAGUAAAUGACUAGGAAGUGGUGAACUUUGGCUAUUAUCUUUGCUUUCGGUGUAAUUUAUUGAAUCCUAAGCUUAUAUAAUUUAACUUUUAGUAAUAACUGUGUUUAAUAAUCAGCUUGCAAAAUUCUUAAAAAGUUUAACAAUCAGCUCUCAGGAGCUGGUACAAGCCAGCUUCAGCACACCACUGGCCUUAGGCAUUCCACUGGCAGUAGUGCUGGGGGUUGGGGAGACAUAUGCCAAUAUGCCAUGCUUUUUAAAAUAUGAAACCCAGGACCCCACUUCUGGAGAUGAGUCUAAGAUGAGACAUCAGGGUUUGAGGUCGGAGCCCCAUUAACAACCUCGCUUUGCCAGGUCUUGUUCUCUGCUCAUCUCCUUCAGAACCUCAUGGGAUAGAGGGUGGAAUGGGGGUUUGAGGUGGGAAAGAGUUCAUGUGCUCUAGAUCCUGGGGCUCAGCCACUUUUUUCACUACUGCUAACUUGGGGUACUGGCCCAGCCCCCUUGACAUCCUGCGGAUAUCUUGCUAUCCUACGGAAGUGGAAAUCAACCCAAUUUCUCAGUUCCUAACCAGAAAUUAGACUCCUAGAGACCACUGAGAAAGCAGAACUGAAUGUGAAAGGCUGUGGGGUAGUUAGUUGGAACCAUGAGAUAUUUUGCUGGGGCUGGCUGCUGACUCAUGGGGGAACUUUUCUGUCCCUGUAGCCCACAUGCUCAAAUGUUGUUUAGUAAAGAUUAAGGGCAAAGCGUGAUGGCCUCUUGUGUUGGUGUAAAGCUUACUCAACAAAUGAAAAAGAAUGGUGACCUCCAUCAUUUUUUGAAAUUAGUCCAUGAAAACCUCAACUUAGAAUACAUGAAAUAAGGAAUGAUGUUAAUUUUUAAAAGGGCUUUUGCUUUACAAAAAGAUUCUCAGUUACUUAGAAAAUACCCCUCAGGUAAUUUUAAAUGGUGCUUGCAAAAUCCUCAUUUACAUAUAUAUUUGCAGAAAUACACCCAUUACAUUAAACCUAUAUUCAUUGAACAGUACGCAGAGUCCAUUGCAUUAUAACUGUAAAAUAGGAAAUGUGAUCCUAAUUGAGGGGACCUGAGGAGGUUGCAUACUAGCGUAAGGUUAUGUUCAGGACAGUAAACACAACUUUUUUCUUCUCUUUUGCUAGGCUGAGAGUCAACUGUGGGCAUCGUGACUGAGCAAGUAAUUUUGAAACUAUUUGGUAGUCUCUGUAACACCUCCUAGCCAAUGAAGACACUAAUGAAAAUUGAGGCAUCUUAGCUUGAGUGAAAGUGUUAAAGCUUUUCUUUCAGGUGCCGGAAAAAACCAUCAUAAAACAUACAUGUGAGGGAAAAGACAGUGGGUUGUCAUGGAGCAGGAAAGCCAUGAAAUCAGAUGAAGCAAAAGUACCAUGCACUCAGAAAAUUAUGUUAUUAUUAGCCCAGAAUUCCUUGUGGAAAAAUUAAAUGGCUAAUGUCCACAGAAAAAAAUAAAAAUAAUUGUUCAGGGAUUAUUAGGAAUCCAGUUGUUUUCCCGAGCAGUUUCCAAAUCCUGCAGAUACAAACAAUAAUAGGAGAAGAUUAGGGCAUUACUUGAGCUGGUUUUUCUUUCUUUCUUUCUUUCUUUUUUUUUUUUUUUUUUUAAGAGUAAAGACAUUUCCACUUGAAAGCUUCCGUAAGCUCUGUAAAUGCAUGAUUUCAAAGACAGAAUGUCUAACUUGAUUUCACAGACUCUUCUUGGCCAUGGCAAACAGGUUAGAAACAGGCAUGUGAUUUGUUUUAUUAAUUUGCCGCUGCCUCAUAUCUGUGCUUAGACAAUUUACACCUUUGUACUUUAGUGUCUCCAACUUGGAAAUGUAUAAUACUCUGUGCAGUAACGUAUUCGUGUAAUACAGGGAACCAGUAAAUCUUUUGACCUCUUGUACCAUGUCUCCCACUUCUUCCCCUACUCCCUGUAUUUGAUAUGUCAUAUGUGGGGUCUGCUGACUUGUGUCUCUGCCUCUGCUCUUACUAUUGUCCCAUCUCCAGCUGCCAUUUACACUUCCCUGUACCAUCUGGAUCCCUCAUUUUAUGACCCUGUGCAAAGAGAUCCUGUUCCAGGAAGGCUUCCAGGAUGAUUAGUACCCUUUCACCUUCUGCAGACCAGAAUAUGGAACAAGCACAGCAAUCUUGGAGAGCUUGGAGAAGGUCAUGGCUGAUGUUGGCAACAGAAGAUGAGGCCUGGUAUGAAAAUGAACAGCCUGUGAAAGCGUAACAGGAUGUGAGUAAAUUAAAGAAUUGGGUUUUUUCCCUUUGGUUUUUUAGGUAGAGGGGAGCCCACCUACAAUAAAAUGUUAAAUAAAAAGUACCCACAUGAAUGAAGGCAGGGGCAAGUCCAAAGCCAAGAUACCAUUUCACUCUAAGUAAAUCCACUGAGGGAAUCCCCUCCCUUAAAAAGAAAAAAGAAAAAAAAAAUGAAAGAAAACUGGUUGGGCACGGUGGCUCAUGCCUGUAAUCCCAGCAC